This 482-nucleotide ribosomal RNA is filed under the name uncultured bacterium. RNAcentral's name for it is "partial 16S ribosomal RNA". It matches the Rfam family "Bacterial small subunit ribosomal RNA", at positions 30 to 507 of the family's 1533-position model. The record is from RNAcentral.
AUUGAACGCUGGCGGCAUGCUUUACACAUGCAAGUCGAACGGUAACAGGCCGCCAGGUGCUGACGAGUGGCGAACGGGUGCGUAAUGCAUCGGAACGUGCCCAGUCGUGGGGGAUAACUACUCGAAAGAGUAGCUAAUACCGCAUACGAUCUAUGGAUGAAAGCGGGGGACCGUAAGGCCUCGCGCGAUUGGAGCGGCCGAUGUCAGAUUAGGUAGUUGGUGGGGUAAAGGCUCACCAAGCCAACGAUCUGUAGCUGGUCUGAGAGGACGACCAGCCACACUGGGACUGAAACACGGCCCGGACUCCUACGGGAGGCAGGAGUGGGGAAUUUUGGACAAUGGGCGCAAGCCUGAUCCAGCAAUGCCGCGUGCAGGAAGAAGGCCUUCGGGUUGUAAGCUGCUUUUGUACGGAACGAAACGGCUCUGGUUAAUACCCGGGGCUAAUGACGGUACCGUAAGAAUAAGCACCGGCUAACUACGUG